GCCGUAAACGAUGGGCACUAGGUGUCGGGGUCGCAAGGCCUCGGUGCCGCAGUUAACGCAUUAAGUGCUCCGCCUGGGGAGUACGCACGCAAGUGUGAAACUCAAAGGAAUUGACGGGGACCCGCACAAGCAGCGGAGCAUGUGGUUUAAUUCGAAGCAACGCGAAGAACCUUACCAGGACUUGACAUCCCUCUGACCGGUCUUUAACAGGACCUUUCCUUCGGGACAGAGGUGACAGGUGGUGCAUGGUUGUCGUCAGCUCGUGUCGUGAGACGUU
Molecule: ribosomal RNA, 277 nt
Filed under: uncultured bacterium
Lineage: Bacteria
Description: partial 16S ribosomal RNA
Rfam family: Bacterial small subunit ribosomal RNA
Source: RNAcentral